AAUAGAUACCCUGGUAGUCCACGCCGUAAACGUUGGGCGCUAGAUGUGGGGGCCAUUCCACGGUUUCCGCGUCGUAGCUAACGCAUUAAGCGCCCCGCCUGGGGAGGUACGGCCGCAAGGCUAAAACUACAAAGGAAUUGACGGGGGCCCGCACAAGCGGCGGAGCAUGCGGAUUAAUUCGAUGCAACGCGAAGAACCUUACCAAGGCUUGACAUAUACGAGAACACUGCAGAAAUGUAGGACUCUUUGGACACUCGUAUACAGGUGGUGCAUGGUUGUCGUCAGCUCGUGUCGUGAGAUGUUGGGUUAAGUCCCGCAACGAGCGCAACCCUCGUCGCAUGUUGCCAGCACGUAAAGGUGGGAACUCAUGUGAGACUGCCGGGGUCAACUCGGAGGAAGGUGGGGAUGACGUCAAAUCAUCAUGCCCCUUAUGUCUUGGGCUUCACGCAUGCUACAAUGGCCGGUACAAAGGGCUGCAAUACCGUAAGGUGGAGCGAAUCCCAAAAAGCCGGUCUCAGUUCGGA
Molecule: ribosomal RNA, 524 nt
Filed under: uncultured bacterium
Lineage: Bacteria
Description: bacterial SSU rRNA
Rfam family: Bacterial small subunit ribosomal RNA
Source: RNAcentral